RNAcentral lists this ribosomal RNA (253 nucleotides) under uncultured bacterium. Its description in RNAcentral is "partial 16S ribosomal RNA". It matches the Rfam family "Bacterial small subunit ribosomal RNA", at positions 524 to 776 of the family's 1533-position model. The record is from RNAcentral.
UACAGAGGGGGCAAGCGUUGUUCGGAAUUACUGGGCGUAAAGCGUGCGCAGGCGGUCUGUUAAGACAGAUGUGAAAUCCCCGGGCUUAACCUGGGAACUGCAUUUGUGACUGGCAGGCUAGAGUAUGGCAGAGGGGGGUAGAAUUCCGCGUGUAGCAGUGAAAUGCGUAGAUAUGCGGAGGAACACCGAUGGCGAAGGCAAUCCCCUGGGCCUGCACUGACGCUCAUGCACGAAAGCGUGGGGAGCAAACAGG